GUGGGGGAUAUUGUACAAUGGAGGAAACUCUGAUGCAGCGACGCCGCGUGAGUGAAGAAGUAUUUCGGUAUGUAAAGCUCUAUCAGCAGGGAAGAUAAUGACAGUACCUGACUAAGAAGCCCCGGCUAACUACGUGCCAGCAGCCGCGGUAAUACGUAGGGGGCAAGCGUUAUCCGGAUUUACUGGGUGUAAAGGGAGCGUAGACGGAAUGGCAAGUCUGAAGUGAAAUCCUGCGGCUUAACUGCAGAAUUGCUUUGGAAACUGUCAAUCUGGGGUGUUGGAGAGGUAAGCGGAAUUCCUGGUGUAGCGGUGAAAUGCGUAGAUAUCAGGAAGAACACCGGAGGCGAAGGCGGCUUACUGGACAAUAACUGACGUUGAGGCUCGAAAGCGUGGGAAGCAAACAGGAUUAGAAACCCCUGUAGUCC
Molecule: ribosomal RNA, 425 nt
Filed under: uncultured bacterium
Lineage: Bacteria
Description: partial 16S ribosomal RNA
Rfam family: Bacterial small subunit ribosomal RNA
Source: RNAcentral